This 17-nucleotide transfer RNA is filed under the name Physcomitrium lorentzii. Its description in RNAcentral is "partial tRNA-Gly". Lineage: Eukaryota; Viridiplantae; Streptophyta; Bryopsida; Funariales; Funariaceae. The record is from RNAcentral.
AGCGGAAAAAGGGCACU